This 2942-nucleotide ribosomal RNA is filed under the name human gut metagenome. RNAcentral's name for it is "bacterial LSU rRNA". It matches the Rfam family "Bacterial large subunit ribosomal RNA". The record is from RNAcentral.
GCAAGAUACCACGGGCGCACGGCGGAUGCCUUGGCACAGGGAGCCGAUGAAGGACGCGGCAAGCUGCGAUAAUCCCCGGCGAGGAGCACACAUCCUUCGACCCGGGGGUCUCCGAAUGGGCGAACCCAUCCACAGAGGUGUGGAUAUCCCCGGCCCGAACACAUAGGGCCGGGGAGGACAACCCGGGGAACUGAAACAUCUAAGUACCCGGAGGAGAGGAAAUCAAUCUCGAGACUCCCCGAGUAGCGGCGAGCGAAAGGGGACCGAUGGCCAAACCGUCGAGCGGGCAUACCCGGCAGGGGUUCCGCCGACGGGGUUGCAGGGCCGCGCAUCCGGGGGCUGCCGCCCCCGGGCGCAGGUCCGGCUGGGGAGCGGAACGGCAUGGGAGGGCCGGCCGCAGCGGGUGACAGCCCCGUACGCGAACCCAGACCGGACGGCGCGACGCGGUCCCUGAGUAGGGCCGGGCACGUGAAACCCGGUCCGAACCUGGGUGGACCACCAUCCAAGCCUGAGUACUACCCUGUGACCGAUAGCGCACCAGUACCGUGAGGGAAAGGUGAAAAGCACCCCGGGAGGGGAGUGAAACAGUACCUGAAACCGUGCGCCCACGAGCAGUCGGAGCACCUUUAUGGUGUGACGGCGUGCCUUUUGUAGAAUGAGCCAGCGAGUCGCUGGCGCGGGGCGAGGUUAACCGAAAGGGAGCCGGAGCGAAAGCGAGCCUUAACAGGGCGACUUGAGUCCCGCGCCGCGGACGCGAAGCCGGGUGAGCUAUCCGUGGGCAGGCUGAAGCGGGGGUAAGACCCCGUGGAGGGCCGAACGCACGUCGGUUGAAAACGGCGGCGAUGACCUGCGGAUAGGGGUGAAAGGCCAAUCAAACCCGGAGAUAUCUCGUUCUCCCCGAAAUAGCUUUAGGGCUAGCGUCGCGCGUUCACCGCCGGAGGUAGAGCACCGGAUGGACGAGGGGGCUUCGCCGCCUACCGAAUCCAACCGAACUCCGAAUGCCGGCGGCCCAGAGCGCGGCAGUCAGAGCAUGUGGGCUAAGCUGUGUGCUCGAGAGGGAAACAGCCCGGACCGCCCGCUAAGGUCCCCAAGUUCCAGCCGAGUGGCAAAGGAUGUGCGUCCGCCCAGACAACCAGGAUGUUGGCUUAGAAGCAGCCAUCCAUUCAAAGAGUGCGUAACAGCUCACUGGUCGAGUGGACAUGCGCCGACAAUACACGGGGCUAAGCUGGACACCGAAGCGGCGGGAUUUUAAUUCAUUAGAAUCGGUAGGGGAGCUUCCCAUGGGCGGAGAAGCCGGAGGGCGACCGACGGUGGAGCGCAUGGGAGUGAGAAUGCUGGCAUGAGUAGCGAGAGACGAGAGAGUAACUCGUCCGCCGUGAACCCGAGGUUUCCUGGGCAAGGCUAAUCCUCCCAGGGUCAGUCGGGGGCUAAGGCGAGGCCGGUAGGCGUAGCCGACGCGCAGCAGGCAGACAUUCCUGCACCGCGCACGCGGCGCUACGACCGACGGGGCGACGGAUGGGGGUGGCUCGGCGGGGUUCUGGACGUCCCCGUGAUGGAGCGCGGCCCGCGGACCAGGGAAAUCCGGUCCGCAGGAGGGCGAGGCUCCGGACGAAGCGACUGAGCGAAGCGAGUGAGCCCGAGGUCCCUAGAAAAACCCCUAGGCAGGCGCGUGCGCGCCCGUACCGCAAACCGACACAGGUGGGUGGGUAGAAUAUACCAAGGCGUAAGAGUGAAACCUGGUUAAGGAACUCGGCAAAUUAGCCCCGUAACUUCGGAAGAAGGGGUGCCUGCAGCGAUGCAGGCCGCAGAGAAAUGGCCCAACCGACUGUUUAUCAAAAACACAGCACUCUGCAAAGACGCAAGUCGAAGUAUAGGGUGUGACACGUGACCAAUGCCGAAAGAUUAAGGCAAGGGGUUAGCCGCAAGGCGAAGCUCUAAACCCAAGUCCCGGUGAAUGUCGGCCGUAACUAUAACGGUCCUAAGGUAGCGAAAUUCCUUGUCGGGUAAGUUCCGACCUGCACGAAUCGUGAAACGAGUUGGGCACUGUCUCAACCAGGCGCUCAGUGAAAUUGUAGUGGCGGUGAAGAUGCCGCCUACCCGCAGAAGGACGGAAAGACCCUAUAGACCUUAACUGUAAGCUGUCAUUGUUUCUUCGGUUUUAAUGCUCAGAGUAAGUGGGAGACGCUGAAGACGCCCUUUAGGGGGCGUCCGAGUCAUCAAUGAGACACCACCCUUUGAAACUGGAGGAUCUAACCCUGAGCCGUGAAUCCGGCCAGAGGACCGUGUCAGCCGGUCAGUUUUACUGGGGCGGUAUCCUCCCAAAGAGUAACGGAGGAGCGCGAAGGUGGGCUCAGCCCGGUUGGCAACCGGGUGUCGAGUGCAUGGGCAUAAGCCCGCCUAACUGUGAGACCAACAAGUCGAGCAGAUGCGAAAGCAGGCCCAAGUGAUCCGGCGGUAGAAAGUGGAAUUGCCGUCGCUCAACGGAUAAAAGGUACCUUAGGGAUAACAGGCUGAUCACGCCCAAGAGUUCAUAUCGACGGCGUGGUUUGGCACCUCGAUGUCGGCUCGUCGCAUCCUGGGGCUGGAGAAGGUCCCAAGGGUCCGGCUGUUCGCCGGUUAAAGCGGCACGCGAGCUGGGUUCAGAACGUCGCGAGACAGUUCGGUCCUCUAUCCUCUGUGGGCGUUGGAAAAUUGAGGGGUUCAGACCUUAGUACGAGAGGACCGGGUCUGACGCACCACUGGUGCAUCGGUUGUACUGUCAAGUGCAUGGCCGAGUAGCUAAGUGCGGACGGGAUAAGCGCUGAAAGCAUCUAAGCGCCAAGCCCUUCCCAAGAUGAGUUUUCCCUACAGGUUCGUGGAAGACCACCACGUUGAUAGGUCGCAGGUGUAAGUGCAGCAAUGUAUUGAGCCGAGCGAUACUAAUUACCAAUUGACUUCAUCAU